RNAcentral lists this ribosomal RNA (235 nucleotides) under uncultured bacterium. RNAcentral's name for it is "partial 16S ribosomal RNA". It matches the Rfam family "Bacterial small subunit ribosomal RNA", at positions 96 to 334 of the family's 1533-position model. The record is from RNAcentral.
UGGCGGACGGGUGGGUAAUGUCUGGGAAACUGCCUGAUGGAGGGGGAUAACUACUGGAAACGGUAGCUAAUACCGCAUAACGUCGCAAGACCAAAGAGGGGGACCUUCGGGCCUCCUGCCAUCGGAUGUGCCCAGAUGGGAUUAGCUAGUAGGUGGGGUAACGGCUCACCUAGGCGACGAUCCCUAGCUGGUCUGAGAGGAUGACCAGCCACACUGGAACUGAGACACGGUCCAG